AGAAGUGAAACGUCUUCAAAAGAAAAAGCAAGGAAGGAAGUUCAGUUUCUUCCUGAAAAAACACCUUUGGAACAACGAUGACCUGGAUGACUGAGAAUCUCUACAGACUUCUCCCCUGGUUGUUUUAAUUCUAUUUAUAUUGUGCUGAUUCGUCAAGAUCUUGAGCAUCCAUCAUGGGAGGUGAAGAUUCUUCAGGAACUGGGGCUGUCUCUUCCAUCUGCCUAAUGAUCAUUGGUUCUAGAUCAUGGGGAUGGCUCAGAGCAGUGCCUUUAAGUCUAAGGGAGAGAAAGAGCAGUUAUCUAGAUAGAUGAGGAAAGAUUUAAAAAAAACAGUAGAAACUGCUGAAGGGGAGAAAAACCCAGAAACUAUCAUGUAGAAGAUGAAUCAGAGUUGCUCCAGAAGACUGGACAAGAAACCAUUGGUUUACAUGACAAAGGAACAGAUGUUAGGAAGGCAUCUGGAAUCAUUUCCUAAUGGCAAGAGCUGUUUAACCAUGGAACUGGCUGACUUGGGAGAUGGUGAACUCGCCUUCAUUGGAGAUGUUUAAAUAAAAGUUGGGUCUUCUUCUGAUUUGGAUGUUAGUGGAUUCUUGAACUGCUUUACAACAGUACGAAUUGGUGUAAGUGUAGUUGUAGCUCAACAUCUGGAAGGUGCUGAACUGGGUUGGGGAAGGCUCUGUAAUUUUCUAAUUCCAAUCCAACUGUCGCUUCAUAGCUAGUCUCCCUAGUUCAUUUGCUGUUAUUAUAGUGUUGUGCUUAUAGUAUCAGUGCAGGCUGAGCUAUCAAGCUUUUUGACCCUCUGUGAUUCUUUGGAAAUGAAGAUGAAAAGAAGUAGAGAGAGAGA
Non-coding RNA from Pseudonaja textilis, 843 nucleotides. Lineage: Eukaryota; Metazoa; Chordata; Lepidosauria; Squamata; Elapidae. The record is from RefSeq and is a predicted model, not a curated record.